UACGGAGGGUGCAAGCAUUGAUCGGAUUUACUGGGCGUAAAGGGCGCGUAGGCGGUUGUGUAAGUCAGAUGUGAAAUUCCGGGGCUCAACUCCGGAGCUGCAUUUGAAACUGCACAGCUAGAGUACAGUUAGGGAAAACGGAAUUCCACGUGUAGCGGUGAAAUGCGUAGAUAUGUGGAAGAACACCGGUGGUGAAGACGGUUUUCUGGGCUGUGACUGACGCUGAGGCGCGAGAGCUAGGGGAGCAAACAGG
This 253-nucleotide ribosomal RNA is filed under the name uncultured bacterium. RNAcentral describes it as "partial 16S ribosomal RNA". It matches the Rfam family "Bacterial small subunit ribosomal RNA", at positions 524 to 776 of the family's 1533-position model. The record is from RNAcentral.